RNAcentral lists this ribosomal RNA (253 nucleotides) under uncultured bacterium. RNAcentral describes it as "partial 16S ribosomal RNA". It matches the Rfam family "Bacterial small subunit ribosomal RNA", at positions 524 to 776 of the family's 1533-position model. The record is from RNAcentral.
UACGGAGGAUCCGAGCGUUAUCCGGAUUUAUUGGGUUUAAAGGGAGCGUAGGCGGGAUAUCAAGUCAGCUGUGAAAUGUAGAUGCUCAACAUCUGCACUGCAGUUGAAACUGGUGUUCUUGAGUGCGUAAGAGGUAGGCGGAAUUCGUCGUGUAGCGGUGAAAUGCAUAGAUAUGACGAAGAACUCCGAUUGCGAAGGCAGCUUACUGGGCCGCAACUGACGCUGAAGCUCGAAGGUGCGGGUAUCAAACAGG